RNAcentral lists this ribosomal RNA (127 nucleotides) under Bradyrhizobium sp. Aust13C. RNAcentral's name for it is "partial 23S ribosomal RNA". It matches the Rfam family "Bacterial large subunit ribosomal RNA", at positions 1 to 126 of the family's 2925-position model. Lineage: Bacteria; Pseudomonadati; Pseudomonadota; Alphaproteobacteria; Hyphomicrobiales; Nitrobacteraceae. The record is from RNAcentral.
AAUCAAGUGCCUUAAGGGUGUUCGGUGGAUGCCUUGGCGCUGAGAGGCGAUGAAGGACGUGCUACGCUGCGAUAAGCCGUGGGGAGCUGCGAAGAAGCUUUGAUCCACGGAUUUCCGAAUGGGGAAA